GACGAACGCUGGCGGCGUGCUUAACACAUGCAAGUCGAACGGAAAGGCCCUGCUUUUGUGGGGUGCUCGAGUGGCGAACGGGUGAGUAACACGUGAGUAACCUGCCCUUGACUUUGGGAUAACUUCAGGAAACUGGGGCUAAUACCGGAUAGGAGCUCCUGCUGCAUGGUGGGGGUUGGAAAGUUUCGGCGGGUGGGGAUGGACUCGCGGCUUAUCAGCUUGUUGGUGGGGUAGUGGCUUACCAAGGCUUUGACGGGUAGCCGGCCUGAGAGGGUGACCGGCCACAUGGGGACUGAGAUACGGACCAGACUGCUACGGGAGGCAGCAGUGGGGAAUAUUGCACAAUGGGCGGAAGCCUGAUGCAGCAACGCCGCGUGCGGGAUGACGGCCUUCGGGUUGUAAACCGCUUUCGCCUGUGACGAAGCGGGAGUGACGGUAAUGGGUAAAGAAGCACCGGCUAACUACGUG
RNAcentral lists this ribosomal RNA (468 nucleotides) under uncultured bacterium. Its description in RNAcentral is "partial 16S ribosomal RNA". It matches the Rfam family "Bacterial small subunit ribosomal RNA", at positions 28 to 507 of the family's 1533-position model. The record is from RNAcentral.